AAGGAGGCCUCCUUCCACGGACGCUAAGACCGGUCGCAAGCGACACACAGUCUCCAUGAGUGUACACGUUAACCCUUACUAGCAAACCUUCGUCUAGCGUAGGGUCCGAAUUCGAUUUCCUUUAUAGUUGGCGAACCAACACAGAUAGGAUACAUACAUAAAACAUAAAUAUUUUUGGCAGACAAUCAUUCAUAAACAUUUCUUUUCAUUUCAUAAGAACCAUUCAUCAUUUAAUCAUUUCCAUAAACAUUUCAUUUCAUAAAAACCAUUCACCAUUUGAAAUAAUACAGUCAUAUCAUGUCAUUCAUUUCAUUUCGUAUAAGAGGCCUGUAUGCAGGGGAUCUCUAUAUACGUGUUUUAAGAAAGCCCACCUCAUUCCGUUCCCACUAGGGGCGUAGAGUUACCUCCUUCUUUAGCUUUCACUUCCCGUCUGGACCUUUAUUGACGAAGAGUCGAUAAGUUCGAGAAGAAAGUCGUGUAAGAAAGGAAGAUAGGUCUCUAAACUAAACUAUCUCCUUUAAUGAUUUUAGGGUUCUAGCAUCCAUAUUAAUCUU
This 554-nucleotide long non-coding RNA is filed under the name Salvia miltiorrhiza (redroot sage). RNAcentral's name for it is "long non-coding RNA (SMIL_LNC014385)". Lineage: Eukaryota; Viridiplantae; Streptophyta; Magnoliopsida; Lamiales; Lamiaceae. The record is from RNAcentral.